This is a non-coding RNA of Pelobates cultripes (western spadefoot toad), 309 nucleotides long. NCBI's taxonomy places the organism in Eukaryota, Metazoa, Chordata, Amphibia, Anura, Pelobatidae. The record is from the annotation of a GenBank genome assembly.
CUCCAUGUGGCAAAUCAUACAGCUAAAUAUACAUAUAUAGCAUUUCUUUAUAUAAAUACACACUCACACAUGCUAAACUGCACAGCCUAUAAAAUGACACUAAUCAUAUGUACAAGCUAUUAUAUUUCAAAUAUAUAUGCACACACCAUACAGAUUAACAAAUACUCGUAGCCAGACAAUAAUGAAAUACAGAUAGAAUAUGAAAUCAUAUUUUUCAAGCGUUGUUGUCAUUACAUUCGAAUCCUUACAGUUCUUAAUAUACAACUUAGCUUUUAAUAUCCUGAAUAAGUCUAUAUUACAUAAUCAAAA